This 5950-nucleotide unclassified non-coding RNA is filed under the name Leishmania donovani. Its description in RNAcentral is "gene:LdHU3.14.1480(CDS-product:hypothetical_prote in)". The record is from RNAcentral. Lineage: Eukaryota; Euglenozoa; Kinetoplastea; Trypanosomatida; Trypanosomatidae.
GAGCAGAGGCGCUCACACACAGGGAAAGCAUCACCUCCUAUCCCCAAAUCUCUCCCACUCCGCUUUCAUGCAAGCAAACACACGCGCCAACGUCUCUGCGAGAUUUCUGCGACGUGGAUGGUAUCGCGAUGGAAGUGCGUUGACUUAUUUGGCCUAUCCUCCCUCACCGCGGCGGCGGUGAGGUGACAGCGGCAGCGUUCCGUUCCGGCCCCGCCGCCCUUCGGCUUCCAAGCCUUCAGCGCCAGUAACGCGUCCAUCCUCGGAAGAGACACCGAUGAGCAAGCUGACUCUGGCCAAUGUAAUCACACCGCAGCAGAUGCGGCAGUCACGGAUGCGGCCUCGUUCAGAGAUGCCUGGGCAGCGCGAUGCAGUCGCAUUGACAUGACUUUAGGAUCGGUGCCGUCUUCAGCUGCGCGCGUACCGCCAGCGGCAGCCGCUGCGACCACAACUACCCCGCGCCUUCCUAUCGCGCUUGCUUUGCGGCUCCCUGUUGCCGCGGCACAGCGCCCUUGACUGCUUCUACUAACUUGCCGAGGCUGAACGUCGCCGCCGUGCUGCCUCCUCCGCAUCACACGACACGCACCGCCCGCAAACAGAUGACCACGUUAUGCCGCUGGAGGUCAUCAUUGCCGUCUACGGGAUGCUCCUACGGCAGCAGGCGCCUCACACGACAACCGACAAUGCCGAGUACGGAGAUUUCAGCUCGCGGAGUGCAGCUUAGGCAACUGCGAUGUGGUCAACAUCGAGCGACACAUCGCCUGCGUCUGGCAGCUCAGUCUCCCCGCUUGGGUUCAUCGCUUAUGCGUUUCAGCAGCACUCGCCACUCAAUCCUAUCGCAGUAAUCCUCGGCGCUGACAAGGGUCGCGGUGCCGGUAACGCGCGUGAGCAGUAGCACAGCCACGGCGACCACGAGGACGCGUACGGCGGUAUGUCACCGCUGUCCUUGCUAACUCUUUCCACCGUUCUUCAUCUCGGGCUCCUAGAAGAGUUGCAGAUUGCUGCUGCACCGCCAUUAUCAUCAAGCGCUGCAGUCGCUCCUGCAGCAGGCACCGCUCCGGCGACGGCGUCGCCGUCACUGACUCGACAGCGGUGGGCGGCGGCCCAGACAAUCCAUCAUAUGCAGUGCUAUGGGUAUGCCCCGGAUUACUUCCGUGCCCUGGCAGCGAUUCCAGCAGCAGCGACGUCGGCACCGGGAGAGUAGCAUGGGAAGAGUUCUGGCCGAGCUUCCGAUGCGCUGGGGCUGGUCCAGCGUGCUGCGCACGCGAUGCCGCACUUCAAACGUCUGUUUUGUGCGCUGGAGGGUGCGUGGGCGAUGCACCACGAGCGGCAUUGCGGCGUGGCGGGUGAGCAGUAGCCAGUGCCUUUCAAUGGAAGGCAGCGGCACACGACCACCGCUCUUGGAGGCUACAAGCAGACAAGAGCUGUGAACUCUGUUGCUGAUGAGGCGUUGACGUCGAUGUUGCACGCCCUCGCCGCCACCCCUACGCGGGAAAGGUUGAGAUCCGCGGCGGCGGCCAGUGACGCGGUACACGUUGUGAGCCACUUAAUGACCACGAGGCAACUGCUCGACGUGAUUCGCGACCUUGUCGUCUUCGCCUGGCCCGCAAUAGAGGUGCGGCGGCGCCAGGCAGAAGCGCCGCGCAUGGUGCUGCGGGAAGCAGCCCGGAAAGCAAGGCACAUUUGGCGGGCUCGGGGCUCCGUCGACAACUGGCAUCUGAUGCUGCAGUGGUCGACGAGGAGCAGGACGCGCUUCUCCGACUUGUGCGCACCGCCACGCGCUUCUCCACAUUCAAUGACCUUUGUGCGCGGAUUGAGCAGCUUUUAACCCAUGAUGGCCAACUGGCCUUCUCUGAGGUGGCCGAUCCGCCAUCGCGGUCGUCCGUCCUGUCACCGCAGCAAGAAAAAGCGUUGCCGUGUCUGCUGACGCAGGACGUGCGUCGAGUGCUGCCGUGGACAACUACGUGCGCCAUACUCAGCGACACGUGACCUAAGCUGCUGUGCGUGAGCGCCGCUGCAAACGUCGCAAGGACAGAGGUGCGAUGUCGACGGGACGACGGCGUGGCAUCCAUGCGAGAGCUGCUUGAUGCCUUCUUUACUUCUCCGCACGCACCCACAGCGGCGCUGCCUUGGCAGGUGACAAGUGAGGCAGUAUGCCGGCCAACAAACUAUGAUGGAUCAUUUUGGUACCGUGUGAUUGUGAGCACCGACACCGCGGACGCCGAGGUGGCGCACUGGAGGCACAUAAUGUUCGGCGGCGAUGCAUACGCGUCCUCUACAGGGCUUCCGCCGGACCAGCGCACAACAGUCAUGGUAACGCGUCAUGAUGCACUUACCAGGGCCGCGCUGCCCGUCGUGCACCGCUGGCUGCAACCGGCAGAGGCCCUUGGCGUGGCGCUGCAGUGGCCUCGCUCGCAGUCACGCACGGUGCGCCGAGCAGUGGACCGCCGUUCUUGAGCGCCAGCCGACCGACGGUAAGGGCAGCAGUGCUACUGCAGAUCACUGCUGCCAAAACGAUGGCAGCGCAGAGACGGCGAUCACUCCAGAUUCUCUUCCUUGUUUGCGGUCACUGAUAGCAUCAGCGUGCCCUGCGACCGCGGCAGCACCGGCUGAGGGAGCUGUCGACGCGGUGCCUGCGGCGGUGGUGCAACUAAUGGUAGACGAGCAUCGCGCCUACGGCGCGCUCCUCUCUACUCCGGAGCAACUGGAAUGGAUCGAUGUGACCUUGCGGUGCACGCAAUGUGGGUCGGAGCGGCAGCGGGUCAUCAAGGCUGCCUUUAUGACCCGCUGGCAUUGUGGCCCAUAUACGCUAACUGUACACGAAGGCGCCUCUGGUGGCAGUGGUGGUGGCAGCGACGACGAGCAAGCAGUGACUGUUUGUUCUGCAAUGAAUCAUCUCAUCGCGUCGGCUGAGGCCUACGUGACGGCGAUUGUUCACCGCUGGGUAUUGCAAGAGGCAGAGGUGCUCGAGGAGUCGGCAGCAGCAACGUUGUUCAACCACGGGGACGACUUAACGCGGCGCGCAGCUCUCCUCGGAGAUGUUGGCCGGCUGCUGGCGGGCGUGAGUCGCGCCUUUAAUAGUGUACCUGGCGGCCUGCCAGCAGUGGAGGCGCUGUUCGCCACGGCUCGCGCUGCUGUGACGUCAGCGGGGCUGCGCCUCGAGCGCGGCGCCCAGCUUUCGAGUACUUCGUCGCUGUUCAGCGUCGCCGCUACAGCUGCUGCGCUGACGUCUGCCGGGAUGCCAGCCCCGUGCGACGACUCUGUCGCUGGAGUUGCAGCACUCUCUUGCUCUGCUUUACUACCUGAGCUCCAGUCUUGCAUGGAUGUCGAGCGUCGUCUUACGCGGCUGCACGGCUGGCUGGGGCUGCUUUGCACAUGCCCCACAGAACUCGUAGCAGACGAGCAGUUUGUGGUCGCGUGGCUGUAUGUGUUGAUGCGGCGUGUGGAGGAGAUGCACGGAUACGCGCGAGAAGGAUCGGCUCAGCUCAGCUAGGCACGGCGGCAGGCUGGGGAAACAACACACCACGCGGACAGUGCGAUUGUCUCUUGUCGUGUUGGAGCGGCCUCUGACGGCGGCGACGACAAUGGGUGGGGGUGCCAGUGGCCGCUGGAGACCGAAGAGGCUGCUGCGCGUCGUGUCGCGCAGUCCCUCAGCAGCCAGCCGUGGCCUGUGCUGCCUGCAUCGUCGCGGCUGCCGCCCAUGCUGCUGAACUGAUUGCUUGCACGGGGUGGCGCGCGAACCUGGAGCGACGCCGUACGCACGCUGCAAGCGUCGACAGACGCUGAUGGCGGGCUUAAGGCAGAACACGCUGGACGGCGCUUCUCGCUGCUCCUGCUACCGCUCGAUCGCGUCGUGUCGGUGGAGCACGCUGUGCGGGUGCUGCACACGCUGCAGGCGGCGGAGGAGCGAUGCGCCGCUUCCGCUACUCCUGCGGUAGCAGCAUCCAUGCAGCGGACACCGCCACCUUAGACACCUCUACAGAAGUGCUCCAGCCGCCGCUCGAUUACAACUGCAUCAGCGGUGAUUCAACUUGUAGCUGAGGUAGAGUCUCUGCCGGCCAUGACAGAGCAUGGAAAUGGGCAGCUGCUGUACACCAUCGUACUUGCGGACGUGUACGGCCAGAUCGAGCGCGUCUUACUCCGCGAGUGGUGUGGCUGCGCGCUAGCGGCGGUGCUGCUCUUCCUCUCACAACAGCCACAGUACACGUACCUGACCUACGUGAGAGAUGCGCCGCACCAUGCAGCCGUAGCUCUGCUCCGGCGGCAACAGGGUGGGCACCGCGCUUUCGACCUCCUGGAGACUGAAAACAGCGCAGGAAAAGCGCCGAUGGCGACGGCCACCCGCAGCGUGGGAGCAGCGUGGGCAAGCCGACCCAUGCGCCCAUCACUGCAGGCAUCGUUGAGCCCACAAGGUCUAGAGCGUAACCGAACGCUAGGCUCACCUGCCUUCGUCGCACCUGUCACUCACGCUGAGAUAUCGUUAGCGCGCUGGCGUGCCUGGAUGGACGAAACGGCUGCUAUGGCGAAUUUGGAUUACUACAUUCUUUUUCCGCCUCCCGCCACGACACUAUCGGCUGAUUCACCGGCGCCCACGGAGGCGUCGGCGGCCGUCGUCUCUGAACGUGUGCGGUGCACGGCUGACUUGCAUUCAGCGGCCAUUGGCUCCGUCGUCGACGCCGCUGCGUCGUGCAAGGUGAUGCAGACACGUCUACGCGAUGGAGCCUCGCCGAAUGAGGCAUCAAAACCCUCGGCCUCUACCCUUGGGGUUCCACUGCACCUUCUAGCGACUUUCAUCCGCCGGGAGUGCCGCAUUGGAGCCACACACAACGGGCCAUCAACGAAUGGCACAGCACCUGCCCUGGCGCGGGAUGAAAGUGUAGUACAAACCCGCUGUCAGCCGCAACAGUGUAUCUCUCUCGCUGCACCUCGCUCGCCCUUCUCUUCUUUCCUGUAUUCUGUCUCCUCACUCGAGGUGCUCGCGGGCGAGAACUUGCAGAGAAGCUUUACUGGUAAUUUGGCAGCGCUAGCUGCGGCACCGCCUUGCCCAUGUCGAGUCCGCACGGCUCAUCUGGAGCUGCUCGUUUUGUUUUUGCAGGUGCUGCGGCGCAAGCAAUCGGAGGCGGCGGCGCGCAGUGGUGAUGCUGCGGCGGGAGAGACAAUCGAAGAGUUGACCGCGGCGGUGCUGGCCGAGCGGUGCGACCGAGGAGGUCGUUGUGGAAGUGGUGGAGGAAAGGAAGCAACAAGCCAACGGUGAAGGCGAUCGAGCGCCGGGGGAGCAGCGCUGACGUGCUUGAGUCGACGCAGCACUUUCUUCAGAGAGUAGCAUGGGCGCAAGACCGGUGCGCUGUGCUCUCGUGGCUGUUCGCUGAACUCACACUUCCCGUCCCUUUCGCCAUACGCAGCCAAACAGCCUGGGCGUCAUCCACCUGCCUUGGCGAUAGAGGGACCGCGGACGCAAGCUCGAGCGCAUACACCUCCGCGCAACGCACAAGGACAAUGUGCAGGGGAGUGUUGCCGUGCCCACAGAACCCCUCCUUACCGCUACCCCGCCGACGAAGGAACAACAAAACACCAUCUCAACUUCAACCAGCUGUCGACACGCCUCCGGCGACUGCUGGAAGGCAUGGGGUGAGCUGGGCCAAACCAUCCAGAGCUGUGCGGCAGGUGCGCAUGCUGCUCCCACGGCGCUACCCCCUUUCCCGCAUGUGCGACAGUUUCAUGCGUACAAACGUCUUUCUCUCUCCUUCGCGCGUGCCGCUAUGGGCGGCGGCGCGUCGGUGUCUUUGAUUGCACAGCUCACCGCCUCGCCAUAUUUUCGUCGUGGCCACGCGACCCCCCGACCUUCCCCUCCUCCGCCCCCAAAGACAAGCCAGACAUACCGACCAUGCCGUCUGCCCGCGUCUCUGCUUACCAAGCGCGCCACGCACCCCUUCCUCGGCCCUGAAUCUUUCGC